This 253-nucleotide ribosomal RNA is filed under the name uncultured bacterium. RNAcentral describes it as "partial 16S ribosomal RNA". It matches the Rfam family "Bacterial small subunit ribosomal RNA", at positions 524 to 776 of the family's 1533-position model. The record is from RNAcentral.
UACGGAGGGUGCACGCGUUAUCCGGAUUUACUGGGCUUAAAGGGUGCGUAGGCGGGUCUGUAAGUCAGUGGUGAAAUCUCCGGGCUUAACCCGGAAACUGCCAUUGAUACUAUAGGUCUUGAAUUAUCUGGAGGUAAGCGGAAUAUGUCAUGUAGCGGUGAAAUGCGUAGAUAUGACAUAGAACACCAAUUGCGAAGGCAGCUUACUGGGGAAACAUUGACACUGAGGCACGAAAGCGUGGGGAUCAAACAGG